UCGGAACUCUGAGGCGGACGUAAGCGUACCAAUCGGAGCGGAGCUUGGCCUCCGGGAGUGGAAGGCUUCCAGCGAUUACUUUCUCGUGUCUGUGGCCUGGGAGCUGCUGGGCCGGCAUGGUGCGGGGCCGGAUCACCGCGCUGGCUGUCAGCGACGUGCGCUUCCCCACCUCUCUGGGCCACCAUGGCUCCGAUGCUAUGCACCCGGACCCUGACUAUUCUGCUGCCUAUGUUGUAAUCGAAACGGAUGCGCAUGACGGACUCAAAGGUUAUGGCUUAACAUUUACAUUGGGUAAAGGCACAGAAGUUGUUGUUUGUGCUGUUAAUGCUCUCUCUACCCACGUGGUUCAUAAAGACAUGGAAGAAAUUGUCAGCAAUUUUAGAAAUUUCUACAGGCAACUCACCAGCGAUGGGCAGCUCCGAUGGAUUGGUCCAGAAAAAGGGGCUGUUCAUUUGGCAACAGCUGCCAUUCUGAAUGCUGUGUGGGAUCUGUGGGCUAAGCAGGAGGGAAAGCCUCUGUGGAAGCUACUAGUUGACAUGGAUCCCAAGCAGUUGUUAUCCUGCAUAGAUUUCAGGUAUAUCACCGAUGCACUGACAGAAGAAGAAGCUUAUGAAAUACUCGUAAAUAGCCUACUUGGGAAAAAAGAAAGAGAAGAACAGAUGUUAACACAUGGAUAUCCUGCUUACACCACCUCAUGUGCUUGGCUGGGCUACUCAGACCAGCAGUUAAAACAGCUGUGCACCAAGGCAUUGAAGGAUGGCUGGACAAGGUUCAAGGUAAAGGUUGGUACAGAUCUGCAGGAUGACAUUCAUAGAUGCAGACUCAUAAGAGAAAUGAUUGGUCCUGACAAUAUAUUGAUGCUGGAUGCUAACCAACGAUGGGAAGUGAAGGAAGCAAUAGAGUGGGUGACUAAAUUAGCUGAAUUUAAACCAUUAUGGAUUGAGGAGCCAACUUCCCCUGAUGAUAUUCUGGGUCACGCAGCUAUUUCUAAGGCCUUAGCACCAUUAGGAAUUGGCGUGGCAACAGGAGAGCAAUGCCACAAUAAAGUGAUAUUUAAACAGCUCCUACAGGCUAAAGCCCUGAGCUAUCUCCAGAUUGACAGCUGCAGACUGGGAAGUGUGAAUGAAAACUUGGCUGUGUUGCUGAUGGCCAAAAAGUUUCAAAUUCCUGUGUGUCCUCACGCUGGGGGCGUUGGGCUCUGCGAGUUAGUACAGCACUUGAUACUAUUUGACUAUAUUGCAAUAUCUGGAAGUCUUGAAAACAGGAUGUGUGAAUAUGUUGAUCACCUGCAUGAACAUUUCAAAUAUCCUGUAAUAAUCAGGAAGGCUUGCUACAUGCCACCACAGGAUGCUGGAUAUUCUACUGAAAUGAAAGAAGAUUCUACAAGGAAAUACCAGUUUCCGCAGGGAGAAGUUUGGCAGAAGCUCUUGUCUGGCCAUAAGAUAUAUCUGCAUUAAGUUUAACCAUGAAAGUUUUCAGGCUUAAAAUGAAAUUCCACAAUGUAUGCUGCUAAUGCAGCAAGACUCCAAAUGAAGAUGAACAGUUCUGUACAACUGUGGGGGAAGCCUUCAAAAAAUACAGAUCUAUUCACUAUAACGUUGCAACAAAAGUUUCAGCUGGACAGGAUAAGAGGGGAAGCAAGCAGUACAAGGAGCUUGAGAGAAUUCAACCCCUACACAUUGAUGAGAGAUGUCCUACUGAUUUGCAUAAGUGUGCAUAGGACACACAAGUACUUGUCCUGCAAAUGUUAGUAAAUAUGUGAAAAGCUUUAUUUGUUCAUUAGUUGUGUACAUAAAAACAAGUUGGUCUGACGAGCAGCUCUGUGAAAGGUAGUAAUCUCAUCUGUUAAAGUUAGUUGUGGGAAAACAUGAGACAUUGACCAAGUCUGGCACUUUGUAAACUCCUCAAAUUUAGACAGAACUACAACCUGCCUUGCUGUCUACUAGCUCACCUGGCCAGACCAAGAAUUUAGAAAGCAAACCAAGAUGCUAUAAAGGACAGCAUUUAAAAAAAAACUUAAAAGUAUAGCUGUGUACAAAAAGGUACUUCUAUUUAGUACCAGCAUUUAGUACAAACUGAGCAAGUCUACACAAGAUGCUAAAGACAUGGACUAGUUUUACUGUGCAUUAGCAUGGCCAGCAAAAACCAUGGUAAUGCAGAGUAGAAUUAUUCUCUUGUGCAUUACUGUAAUGGAAAGAGCAAGCACUGAUGCUGCUGCUCAGUAGCGCUGAUUAUGAUGCAUUAAGCUAGUACCUGUAAUUACAGGUACUAUCAUUAAUGCACCGUAAUUACAGCGCAUUAAUAAGUGGGCACAUCUACACAUUCAGUAACAAACCUUCAAGAUGUAUCACUCUAACAAAUAAUAUAUUUAUAAAACCAGAUUUAUUAAA
Molecule: RNA transcript, 2390 nt
Organism: Alligator sinensis (Chinese alligator)
Lineage: Eukaryota; Metazoa; Chordata; Crocodylia; Alligatoridae
Gene: ENOSF1
Gene name: enolase superfamily member 1
Exons: 17
Source: RefSeq, a predicted model, not a curated record